This 8755-nucleotide long non-coding RNA is filed under the name Canis lupus familiaris (dog). RNAcentral describes it as "lncRNA (ENSCAFG00000051476.1)". Lineage: Eukaryota; Metazoa; Chordata; Mammalia; Carnivora; Canidae. The record is from RNAcentral.
AUCAUGUAAAUAUAUAGGUAAUACUAUUUUAAUGCCUUUACAGGUCUAAAAUCGCCUUGCCAGUUUAGGUAUUAAAAUAGUAGCUCGUUUUUAAGUUACCUUAGAAAACAGUUUAUUUAGACAAGCAGUACAAAUGCACCACAGAACAUAAAUCUGUUAAAUUACUUUUCACAGUUUUCUCAUCCUGUUACAAGCUGCCGAUGUUUCCUACUGAGCACGGCUUUGGCCCUGAGACGGUGAGCAGAGUAAGGGCCAGGCUAUGCGGGAUGCAGCUUUGUGUUCACAGCACCGUGGGCUCUGUUAGAACCCAAUAAACAGUCACUGACUUACAUGAAUGUAUUGGAAGUCUAAUUUUUAAGGUUGUCAACUAACCACAGUUCCUGCUUUCUGUACGACUUCAUUUUUAUCAUCACAAGGGAAGAUAAGGUGCAGUGGCAACCCUGGGUACACUCAUAGCCACUCUUCGAUCACUUGCCCUUGACAGACAUCAAUAAUCAACCACAGCAUCUUCCUCAGAUUGUUCCCCACACAGGCCUCCAGGAAGUCACGGCAGCUGCCUGGGGGCAGCUACGCUGUUGGCAGGAGUGGCAACAAUCUAUAGAAUGGUUCUAGCUUGGCUCAACCACUAACUAGCUACUAAACCAGCUCAAUGACUUGGAAUGAAUCAUUGCCCUCUCUUGGCCUCAGUUUCAAUUAUGAUAUGAGUGGUUUGGACUCAUAUUGGAUAUCGAACAGACCAUUAAAUUACUUUUGAAAAAUAAAGGUCUGUAAAAUUGGCACAAGUUUCUUUUUCUGUGAAGAUGUGCCAGUCAGCCAACACAUAAAAUAUGUUUGAGCUGAGGACAACGUAUAUUGAAAAUAUAUUUUCAACAUCAAGUUCUUGAUGUAUGGUGGUAAUACCACUCUCCUGUCUGGCCCCAUCUACCUUACCUCCCGCCUGCUCCCCCACAAACUCACUUGCAGCCACACUGGAGACUCUGCACACCUGCAGGGAACCCCUGCUCUUCACCUCCCACACUCAUUAGCAACUUCUACCACCACCCGGGGCCCUGGGAAAUCUUUGUGCUUGCUGGGCACUGUGCAUCUUUCCUUGGAGCGCCUGGCCGGUCACAUCAUUUCUUACACCGCUCUGCUCCCGGGCCUUGUGCUUCUCGAGGUCAGAGAUGAGUUCUUUUCAUCUCUAUAGCCUUCAGGCCUACACAUAGUAGGGGCCUGAGGUAGGUGUUCUGAAGGAGUGGGCCUCCCCACUGAUGCAUAUAAAGUCCAAGGGCAGCAUUCAUCAGGUAAUAAACUCGUAUAGGUCUUUCACUUUGUUAACUUUCUUUGGAAUGUCUAAGAAAAAAAAUAUUCUCAAAUAGUUGAUUUUAUUUGAGCCAUUUGGUAAGGUUCUCUGAAAAAGUGCUCCUGUGUGAUUCACAUGUGGGGGCUGGUGGGGUGUGACAUAAAUAUCUUCCUAUGUGGUAAUCUGGAGACAUCACGCUCGGAGAGCAAGGACAUGGAGCAAUAUGAACGUACAUUUGGCUGGCUAUGUGAAGAUACCUGAUAUUCCAAAUUGUUGCAGCUUCUCUCUCUUUUGAAGACCUUGAAAUAAGCAGCGAAGUCCCCAUUUUCUGAACUAUUUCCAUGGAGUUGGGUGUAGUACACAGAGGUCUCACAGCAUUUAGCAAUUAAUGACUUUUGCAGUCUCAUGGGUCAUAGCCAGCUUCCUCAGUCAGAAUGAAUUCUUUGAGGACAAUACCAAUAAAUCUGGUUCUUUCUGUAUAUCCCAAGGUGCCAAGUGUGCAGCAGGUGCUUAGUCAAUGCAUAGUGAACACACUGCAACAUGUAAACCAUGUAAGCCUCCUCUUGGCCAGGGUCUUCUGCAGACAUGGCACCAAGCACAGUUCUAGAAUCAUUAUGGUAGAACUGCAUACAUUCUUUACUUGGCUGAUGCACAGGAAAGUGACCACAGAAAGGCGGGUGUGUUGAUCUGGCAAGACCUCGUGAAUAAGUGAGAACACUGGGGAUUUCUCAGAUUCCACCUUCUAGUGAGCCAAGACCUGAUGGUGAUGGCAACUCACCAUGUGCCAAGAAUUGCUGUAAAUAUUUCAUAUACAUUUACUCUUUAAAUGUUGGCUGAAUUGAGUACUAGGAGUGUUUUGUCCAUUCCAGGCAACUGAGUUGUUAAUCAAAGAAAGCGUCACCAGGUGGCAGUUGGCAAAAGCAGGAAAUGCCAGCACAAGUAUGGGGUGGAGGUGGGCUCCUGAGGUCCCUGCAUCUGUGAGCCCACAGACCAUGGGACUGCUGUUUCCGAGCACGUUUGCUGGGUGCCUGCUCCUAAGGCAGUAACAGGACUUCCAGGUCUCUGGCAGCAGAUCAGGUGGUUGCACAGCUAGGAGACUCGCUUCUGUCCCCACCUAGUUUCUCUCCAAGGGCAAGGGCAUUGCAGCAAGAAGCAACCCAGACUGCCUGAUAGUCACUCUGGGCUCUGGAGAGCCCCCUCUCCGGAACUGUCUCUGGGAGCUACAUCAGGUAACAGCCUGGCCAAAUCGACACAUCCACUGCCGUGCAAGGGAGAGAUCCGCCUGUCCCUACUGACUGCCUCUGGGGACCAGCAGCCUCAGCAUCACCUAGGAGCUGGUUAGUGGGACAGACUCUCAGGCUCCACCCAGACCUAUGUACUCACAACCCCCAAUGGAACAAGAUCCCCAGGUGAUUCCUCUGCGUGUCAAAAUUUGAGAAUCACUGUAUUAGGGUGGUUAUUCCCAACUCUGGUUGCACAUCACAAUCACUUGGGGACGUUUUAAAGCUCCAGCCCAUUUCUGGCAGUGUGACCCAGGUGUCAGUAUUUUCUUAGUGAUUUCAAAUGUAGCCAGGGUGGAGAACCACUAUCCCAGAGGUGAAUCAAGACUUCUGAGAGCAGGGACGCCUGGGUGGCUCAGUGCUUGAGCAUCUGCCUUCAGCUUAGGUUGUAAUCCCAGGGUCUUGGGAUCAAGUCCUGCAUCGAUCUCCCUGCAGGGAGCCUGCUUCUCCCUCUGCCUAUGUCUCUGCCUCUUUCUCAUGAGUAAAUAAAUAAAAUCUAAAAAAAAAAAGACCUCUUAAUGCAGCCCUCAUGUCAUUAGGUGAGCCUGCAGGUGAGACACAUAACCCCUGUGUAAGGACACAGUACUCUCCCACAAGGACAAGGAACUGCUCCAAGUCUAGUUCUUGUACCAUCCAGGCAAUUGAAGUGUUCACGGCCUCCAGCGUAGCCUGGUCCAUGGCCUUGUGGUGGGAGUUGGGCACACGGCAUCACUAGUUGGGGGAAGAGGGCUCUUCACAUUGGUCCAGCCCUCUUCUGAGGUGCCUCUUACAAUACAGGCUUAGGGCAGCCCAGAAGACUGACCCCUGCACCUCCCCCCCACCACCCCACACACACACACUCAUGGCUGGGCUGCACUCAGAAGGGCUGGAAAACCAGACUUCUGGAGGAAGGGACAGCCUGCUUUCCAGCCCCCAGGUGAUUGCCAGGGAACACUUGGGGCAAUGCAUCUAAAGCACAAACUGGGGGUGGGGGGGGGCACAUGGCUCUGCACCCAAGGCCACAGCCUCCACUAGCUAAAGGGUUUUAAGUUCCAACAAAGGAAAAUAGGACUGUGGCCUCUUAGGAACAGAAACCCAUGCAGCAGGGGAAGGUGAAGACCAUUCAGGCCGCAUGCUAUUUUCAAGUGGUUGGCAGGGGCAGCAAUUCCACUCCUGGGCAUGACUGAACACAGAGGUGCAGCAGGGAUACAAACUGUGUGCGCUCAUGGACUUAGUAAGAACCUACCGAAGUCUGAUUCUUAAUACAUGGUGUGGCCCGAGGCAGGAGCUACAGCUAUGGCCCAGGUCAACGUAGUUCCAGACCCUGGCAAGAGUGGCUGCUGCAGGGACAGGCACGAGACUUAUUUCAGGCCAAAGAGAGACUCAGAGCUUUUAUGGAACUGUUGAAAAUAUUUGUCUGCUGGGACCGGAAGGAUGUGAGCCUAGAGAGGAAAGAAGCACCAAGACAUGAAGAGAGAAAAGCAAAUGCACCCAGGUGCUCCGUGUAGAGUUCUGGAUCCAGCCGUUCCUAAAGUCAGAUUUCCAUGCUGUUCCAGCUACAUGAGCCACAAAGUCGGCUGUCUUUUUAAAUGACAGACAAGCCUUUGCAAGCCUUAUUUACAAAAGAAAGAGUCCCAACUAAUUCUCUGAGCAAACAGGGGCUGGAUAAGUGAUGUCAAACUAUUUGAACCUCUGAAGUCACAGACAGUCUUCAUUUGGCUCCACUUUUAGAUCCGCAGGACAAGGGGGUUUGGUAGACUUUCAAGACAGUUGUACCAGGACAGGUUGGGACAAAUGAUAAAGCAGGUAUCAGCAGACCGUGUUCCUUGUAGAUCUGCAUGGGGCAAAGGCAUGACCCCUCUGUGUUAGGGUCAUCAAAGAACAGCUCAGUCGCUGGCAGAAUAAGCCAACUCUAAGCUCUGUGCCCAUUCCCUGCAUGUGCCCAUUGCAUCCUGAUGGCUUCACCUCUUCCAUCUGGUGGAAAACCAUCUGGCGAAGGAUGAAGGGCAAGGGCCUUAACAGUGACACAAACUUAGGUGGACCCAGGUAGUGGCAGCAAGAUUCUUGGUUGGAAAGUCACAAAGGGGGUUUAGGAAAGCAAGGCUUAUUGUGUCAUGUGGCAUCCUGAGCCCCAGUAGGAGCAGGGCAGCCGAAUAACUCCUGUGUUAUUUGGCAGGGGUGGCCUGGGGUAGAGCAGGCCACCAAACCCAAAGAGACGACAACAAGGAAAGCCUUGGUGCCAACCCACAGUGAUUGGCACAGAAGAUGGAGAAUAGAGGUCUUGAUGGGCCAAGCAGAUAUAACAGGGUGCCAGCACCAGCAGUAUUUCUCCCAUCCAGAUACCAAGCACCACAGGCCACCUCUCAGAACACAGAACACAGAUGCUAUUCACGGUUGCUGAGGGCUGGAAGGAACACCACACUGGCUGAGACUGAGAUCGGUGGCCAAGCACCCCUGGGAGCUCAAAGCAGAAAAGAAACUGAGUUGUAGUAAAAACAAGUUGUUUCUCAGGUGCAGACACUGGUGGCCUUGAGACCUGCACUUGGGAGCCCGGCCUGGGGCAGCAGCAGUUGCACACUGCUCCCACUGGCCCACAACACGUUGGGGAGACUGCAUUUGUACGAUGCCAACACAACGUGCAACUUGCAUGAAGAACCAGAGGUGAUACAAUUCGACAUCGAAAUAGAGAGAGGCGCACUCGUGGUGAGCACCGCGUGACGUAUGGAAGUGGUGAAAGGCUAUACUGUGCACCUGAAACUAAUACUACACUGUAUGCCAAGUGGAAUUAAAAUAAGAACUUUUUAAAAAAAUCCACAAAAAAAAUAGAGGGAAAAAGCUGGGCCUGAGUAGAACAGAAAGAGCACCAAGGCGCUGUCUGCACUGGAGUCCUGGCUGUCACUUUCCCAGCCUGGCCUCAGUUUCUCACUUCUCACAAGAACUGUCACACAGGCUGUUGUGAAGGACAGAACGAGGUGAUGUAAUGCACAGAGGAAGUAUGGGAGCUAAUGGGAGGGAUCACUGCUCACUGUUAUUUUUGGCAUCUCUCAGAAUGCAGCACAUGGGCGCCCACCCACACCACCUCCACACACAAGGCCUGCUCUGGCUGUCCCGUCCCUAAGUCCCUGGGAUGUGGAAAUAGUGCCGCCCACGGGAGAUGAUCUGUGGCUGGGGAGCAGCCCGUGCGGGGAGGGAAGGGUGGUAACCCCACGGGUGCAGGAUGGAGACAGGGUGUCUGUGUCACAGGGUGCACAGGGUGCACCUGGAGACACAGGCCAGCAGAGGGCGUGAGGGGACCCGCGGGGCAGGAGCUGGUGCUCGGCAGCAGACACCUGCCUGCCGCCGCCUGCCAGGGACUGAGCAGCACUGAAGGGGGCGAGCGUGCAGCGGCAGCAAAUUCCCUGCACCAGCCAGAGGACAGAGGCCGCAGAGCUCACAGAGCUAGGCGUGGGGCUCAGCGCAGACGGACAGGGCACCACAACGGCUGGCCGGAGCCAGGGACCCAUCACAAGCUCAUGUGCUGGCCUUAAGCGAAGAAAUGUGCAGGGUUGGAAGCAGGGGGAAGGGAUGUAAGGUGGGAGGUGACCUGAAUGCCACCCUCUCCCACAAUGACUGACAGCCAGCUUGCCUGGCCACACCACCAGGACAGCCCUGCCUCUUCAGUGCAGCUGAGGAAAGAACAAAGCAGGGAUGAUACUCUGAUCCCCACCUGCAGGCACUUGAAAAAUGGGAGGGUGAACCUGAGCUUUCUAGAGACUGGUUGCCCAGUCCUCAAACCCCAGAAACAAGAGACCAUAGAGUUGGCUUCACCUCACAAGGAGGAUAGUGAGACGGCUCCUGGCACAGAAAGGCACAAGAGGGUGGGAAGGGUGUCUGUGUCCAUUAGGCAUCUGUCCUACAGGAGCAUCAGAAGGAAGCUGAAGCCCUAGAACAGGGGCUGCACUUUACGGAGAUGAUUCCAUCAAGACAGUCACUGAAAUCCGUCGCUGGACAGUGAAUUCAGUGACUGAAUUCUCCAGCAACUGGAUGAAAGGGCUCAGUUAGCAUGGCGUCUUACCUCCAGACUAGGAUAUCAUCACCCUACACACCAGGGAUGUAAAGGCCUUCAAUUCCAUGCUAAGGAGCUGCUAAACCCCGAUGAUGGUGGGAAGAACUGCCUUUUUUUAUUGUGGUAAAACAUGUAUCAGGUGCAUUUUUUUGUUUCUUAGCAAAAAUAAAAGCCAAAAGCCACAGUGAUGCUAUGGGAAGAAUAUUUACAGUUCAGAAUCAAAUAAUGACUACAAAAAUAUGGCUGACAGUGUGAUAAGAGUUACAAAAAGUUAUCUCAGUAAAGCUGCAUUAGGAAGAACUGGAAAUGCAGAUGAAGAUAGGGCCUUUAGAAGCUCAGAAUUUGGGACGCCUGGGUGGCUCAGUCGGUUAAGCCUCUGCCUUCGUUUGGCUCAGGUCAUGAUCGCAUGGUAAGACACAGAGGGGCAGAGGGAGAAGCAGACUGCCCGCUGAGCAGGGAGCCUGAUGCAAGUUUCUCUCCCUCCCAGGACCUGGAAAUCAUGAGCUGAGCUGAAGGCAGACACUUAACUGAGCCACCCAGGAGCCCCUCAAAAUACUUCUAAUAAUAAAAGUGUAAGCAGGUGAUAUUAAUAAAAAUGGUGGACUAAGGGCCUCCAAAAAAAAUCUUUCAUCUAUAAAAGCAACGAGAAAACCAGGGGGGCGGGGGGGGGGGAGUUAGAAUCAACUUUGUCACAACUCUGGCUAUUAACCAAAGGCUUGCAGCACUCCAGGAAGCAUUAAUCAAGAGACACAGCUAAAUCUUAGUAUGAAGUGAGCAUUUUAACCUUCCUUAUUCCAACCCUCUGCCCUCGAGCUCCAUGGUAGCCUUGAAAGCCAACAGCGUCACAAUUACUCUGUAAAUCAGUAGUCUGGCAGUCACUAGAUGGGGGAGAACCAAGUUGAACUUCAAGGCUCUGUUCCCAGAGAACUGUCAUUCUACCCUUCUGGUGGCUCCCUGGAAAACCCUAAUCUAUCCUGAGUCAGAGCUCCCUCAGUGUGAAAAGCCUUUUCUCUUCCACUGAGGUAUUUGUUGAAAACAAUUAAAGGCAAAUAUUUACAUUAAAUUAAGAUGCAUUAAAUGGUUCAAAUAAAAGAGACUGACAGGAUACAUUUUUUUAAUGCUCCAAAUAUAUGCUGUCUAUAAGAGACACAAUUUAAGUUCAAAGACACAAAUAAGUUGAAAGUGACAGGAUGGAAAAAAGAUAUGCCAUGCAAACAACUAAAACAGCUGGGGUACCUCUACUAAUACCAGACAAAACCGACUCCAAGACAAAAAUUACUAGAGACAAUGUAGGAAAUUGUGUAAUAAUAGAGUCAAUCAAUCAAGAUUUAACAAUUAUAUACAUAUGCACCUAAUAACACAGCUUCAAAAUACACAGAGCAAAACUAACAAGAGUUGAAGGAAGAAAUAGGCAAUUAGGCAGUAAUAGUUGGGAGUCUUCUAUGUUCCAUCUCAAUAAUUAUGGAACAACUAGACGAUCAAAAAAGAAACAGAAGACUUCAAUACACGAUAAACUGACCAGGUCUAACAGACCAGAACACGCACUCAGUAACAAUAGCAUACACAUUCUUCUCAAGGGCACGUUGAACAUUCUACAAAGUAGAAUAUUUUUUAGGCCAUAAAACAAGACUCAAUAUAUUUUAAAAGAUUAAAAUUAUACAAAGUAUGUUCUCCAACCAAAACAGAAUUAAAUUAGAAAUUAAUAACUGAGGGAAAUUUGGGAAACUCACAAUGUCUGGAAUAAAUUAAGUAACAAACUUCUAAGCAACAAUAGGUCAAAGAAAAAAAUCAUGAGACAUAGAAAAUACUCUGAGAUUAGUAAAAACAAAAAGAGGCUAUAGCUAAAACAGUGUUUACAGAAAAUUCAUAGCUGUAAAUGCCUAUAUUUAAAAGGAAGAAAGAUCUCAAUCAAUAGCCUAAUAAACCACCUCAAAUUUUAUUAUUUUUAUUUUUAUUUUUUUACUUUUUUUCCACCUCAAAUUUUGAAAAGAGCAAACUAAACUGAAAGCAGGAGGAAAAAAAUAAUAAAGAUUAGAGAAGAAAUUAAUGAAAUUGAGACUCGAAAAACAAUACAGAAAAUCAACAAGAGAAAAAAUUGGUUCUUUGAAAAGAUCAACAAAAUGAAAAAACUUUUAGCUAGACUGACCAAGAAAAAAGGAAAAAAAAAAA